Long non-coding RNA from Grammomys surdaster, 543 nucleotides. RefSeq lists it as uncharacterized. The transcript has 3 exons. NCBI's taxonomy places the organism in Eukaryota, Metazoa, Chordata, Mammalia, Rodentia, Muridae. The record is from RefSeq and is a predicted model, not a curated record.
GAUUAGCUAUUUGGGCUCUCUACUGUGUUCAUGAAACUGGUCACUCAGUCUAGAAAAUCAUGUGACACUGAUGACUGCAAACAUGUCCAAAGUUGGAAUAGGUUCACUCCCUGAAAGAUAUAUUAUCAGGAAGUAUGUGACACCAGUAUUUGACACAUCCAGGGGAGAGGAAUCUAUCAUCUGAGCCAAGAUGUUAAUUAUAAAGAACAUGAAAGGAUGUUAAAAUUGGCUUGAGAACAAAAAGAACUAUGAUCAUUUCACCUGUCUUAUAAAGAACAAUGGCCUUCAUAAAUGCCACUCUUAAACCAAUGUGUAUCAUUUCAUUGGAAUUUCUAAGCUCUAUGUCUGAAACUGCAGAGGUUACUUCUGUAGGAAGAAUUGAAGAAUUGCCAGGGAACUCAGGAAGUAAUUCAACAAGCAGUGAAGAAAUUUCCCUUUCAAGAUUUUAACAAAGAACAUGCUGAGGUCACCGCACAGUGACAGAUUUGUGGUAUUGGCUGUUCAACAGUCAUCCCAGGAAAUAAAUAUUUUAUCAUACAAAGA